GCCUGGGUGGCUCAGUCAGUUGGGCGUCUGACUUCGGCUCAGGUCAUGAUCUCACAGUUUGUGGGUUCGAGCCCCGCAUUGGGCU
This 85-nucleotide transfer RNA is filed under the name Felis catus (domestic cat). It matches the Rfam family "tRNA". From Rfam's summary of the family: Transfer RNA (tRNA) molecules are approximately 80 nucleotides in length. Their secondary structure includes four short double-helical elements and three loops (D, anti-codon, and T loops). The record is from Rfam by way of RNAcentral. Lineage: Eukaryota; Metazoa; Chordata; Mammalia; Carnivora; Felidae.